Molecule: ribosomal RNA, 253 nt
Filed under: uncultured bacterium
Lineage: Bacteria
Description: partial 16S ribosomal RNA
Rfam family: Bacterial small subunit ribosomal RNA
Source: RNAcentral
UACGAAGGGGGCUAGCGUUGCUCGGAAUUAUUGGGCGUAAAGAGCUCGUAGGCGGUUUGUCGCGUCGACUGUGAAAACCCGAGGCUUAACCCCGGGCCUGCAGUCGAUACGGGCAGGCUAGAGUUCGGCAGGGGAGACUGGAAUUCCUGGUGUAGCGGUGAAAUGCGCAGAUAUCAGGAGGAACACCGGUGGCGAAGGCGGGUCUCUGGGCCGAUACUGACGCUGAGGAGCGAAAGCGUGGGGAGCGAACAGG